Molecule: transfer RNA, 76 nt
Filed under: Candidatus Sungbacteria bacterium RIFCSPLOWO2_02_FULL_54_10
Lineage: Bacteria; Candidatus Sungiibacteriota
Description: tRNA-Thr
Rfam family: tRNA
About the family: Transfer RNA (tRNA) molecules are approximately 80 nucleotides in length. Their secondary structure includes four short double-helical elements and three loops (D, anti-codon, and T loops).
Source: RNAcentral
GCCGAAGUAGCUCAGUUGGUAGAGCGACCGCUUCGUAAGCGGUAGGUCACCGGUUCGACCCCGGUCUUCGGCUCCU